UGGACAUCAUACCAAAAGAACUAAAGGUAAAAAAUCCAUUACAAUCUACAUAUCACACAGAUUAUGCUGAGAGACUGUCACACACUCUCAAAGAAACUGCGAAACCACCUGAUCAGCAUCCUAUAUAGCAAAGAGGGAAAGAUUAUGAAUGAGCUCUCAAAACUGGAUACUCGCAUAAAAAACCAACCUUCCACACAAACUUACUCAUGGAUAGACUUUACAAAAACUAGACAAGCCAUUUACAACACAAAUUUUGCCUCUCUACAAAGGAAAAAGGACACUAAAUUAUUUAAACUGCUACAUGCCACAAGGAGCCACAACAGUAGUUCCCUUAACCCACCCAACAAUAUUGUUAAUCUUUCCAGCUAUACUCUUAGCCCAGCAGAAGAGUCUGUCCUAUCUUGGGGCCUCUCCUUUUGUCCCUCCAGACCCACGAACAUGAUACAGUUCUGCGGUGACCUAGAAUCCUACUUUCGACAUCUCCGACUCAAAGAAUAUUUCCAACAUACCUCUGAACAGCAUACUAACCCACAGAAUCCCCCCUACCAGCACUACAAAAACAAGGAUUCUGCGUGUACUCCUCUGGAUGGUCGAAACAACAGACUGGACUUCUACAUAGAUUGCUUCCGUCAACGUGCAAAGGCUGAAAUUGUGGAAAAGCAACAUCACUUGCCUCAUAACCUCAGCCAUGCUGAACACAACGCCAUCGACAGCCUCAGAAACAACUCUGACAUCACAAUUAAAAAGGCUGACAAAGGAGGUGCUGUCAUCAUCAUGAAUAAAUUGGAAUAUGACCAAGAGGCUGCUAGACAGCUCUCUAACACCACAUUCUACAGGCCAUUAUCCUCUGAUCCCACUGAGGAUUACCUAAAGAAACUACACCAUCUGCUAAAAAAAACUCCCUGACAAAGCACAGGAACAAAUCUGUACAGACACAUGCAUAGAACCCUGACCAGGGGUAUUCUAUUUGCUACCCAAGAUCCAUAAACCUGGAAAUCCUGGACGCCCCAUCAUCUCAGGCAUUGGCACCUUAACAUCAGGCUUGUCUGGUUAUGUGGACUCUCUCCUUAGGCCCUACGCUACCAGCUC
Molecule: long non-coding RNA, 1089 nt
Filed under: Chrysemys picta bellii (western painted turtle)
Lineage: Eukaryota; Metazoa; Chordata; Testudines; Emydidae
Description: lncRNA (ENSCPBG00000002880.1)
Source: RNAcentral